GGAAUGCCCUAAAAGAACUCUCUUUAGCUAUAUUUCUUGGUCUUUGGAUUGAUUGGUUGUUUUUGGCCCAGAUCUCGUUUACGCUAUAAUGCAGUGAUGAAUAGCUGCCAAAAUGUUUAGUUUUGCCCUCUUUCAAGAAAAAGGCUCUCCCUGAGGAUUGUUCUCUCUGCUAGAUUAUCACAUCUCACAUUUCAAGAUUAAAAGGGAAUGAUGACACCGAUGCAGGGGUUACCUUUACUUUCUUUCAUUACCAUAAUACGGAUCGCCUCGGCACGGGAUUAUUAUUAUUGCAAGGAAGUUAGCACAACAAUCAUUGAAACCAACUAUUCGGGAAACGCUACAAAUAGUAGGGGUGACCUUCAAUUUCCAAGCUUGCCGCCAGAGGUUGCAAAAUAACUUCAGAUGCCUGUAUUGAACGCUGCUUGCGGGCCCAGCGAAUCCAACAAAGGGAGAUCUGCGCCUGUUCCGAAGAGUAAACGUUCUGUUUUUAAGAAAAUUUGAUCUGAUUUAUGAAAACCAGAUUACAAUACCUGGUGUGAUACCUGCGGUAUUGUAGAUUUCAACACAAAAAUUGACAACAAGAAGAUUGCAAGCCAAAAACUGUCUCCAUUCUAUUCAAAAUUGGAGUUUAUACAAGUCGAAUGUAUCCCAAGGGUCACACAAAUCCCUUGGAAUUGAAACGAAGAGUCACCAUAAUGUUUAUUACAAUUAAACUACUAAAACUAUCAAAAUUAUCAAAAAACUAAAUAUAAAAUUUAGUCCACUUUGAGAAGGCAUAACUUUCUCAUCCUAGCUCCGAAUUACAAACCGUUUGAUGCGUUGGAAAGGUAUUCAAAUAAUCUAGAACCAAAUUUCGGAAA
Molecule: long non-coding RNA, 860 nt
Organism: Cryptomeria japonica (Japanese cedar)
Lineage: Eukaryota; Viridiplantae; Streptophyta; Pinopsida; Cupressales; Cupressaceae
Exons: 4
Source: RefSeq, a predicted model, not a curated record